Prionailurus viverrinus (fishing cat) is the source of this 85-nucleotide non-coding RNA. Lineage: Eukaryota; Metazoa; Chordata; Mammalia; Carnivora; Felidae. The record is from the annotation of a RefSeq genome assembly.
GCCCGGGUGGCUCAGUUGGUUGAGCGUCUGACUCCGGCUCAGGUCAUGAUCUUGCAGUUCGUGAGUUCAAAUCCCACGUCGGGCU